This 1013-nucleotide ribosomal RNA is filed under the name Bacillus sp. BMT1. RNAcentral describes it as "bacterial SSU rRNA". It matches the Rfam family "Bacterial small subunit ribosomal RNA", at positions 56 to 1069 of the family's 1533-position model. The record is from RNAcentral. Lineage: Bacteria; Bacillati; Bacillota; Bacilli; Caryophanales; Bacillaceae.
UGCAAGUCGAGCGAACAGAAGGGAGCUUGCUCCCGGAUGUUAGCGGCGGACGGGUGAGUAACACGUGGGUAACCUGCCUGUAAGACUGGGAUAACUCCGGGAAACCGGAGCUAAUACCGGAUAGUUCCUUGAACCGCAUGGUUCAAGGAUGAAAGACGGUUUCGGCUGUCACUUACAGAUGGACCCGCGGCGCAUUAGCUAGUUGGUGGGGUAAUGGCUCACCAAGGCGACGAUGCGUAGCCGACCUGAGAGGGUGAUCGGCCACACUGGGACUGAGACACGGCCCAGACUCCUACGGGAGGCAGCAGUAGGGAAUCUUCCGCAAUGGACGAAAGUCUGACGGAGCAACGCCGCGUGAGUGAUGAAGGUUUUCGGAUCGUAAAGCUCUGUUGUUAGGGAAGAACAAGUGCGAGAGUAACUGCUCGCACCUUGACGGUACCUAACCAGAAAGCCACGGCUAACUACGUGCCAGCAGCCGCGGUAAUACGUAGGUGGCAAGCGUUGUCCGGAAUUAUUGGGCGUAAAGGGCUCGCAGGCGGUUUCUUAAGUCUGAUGUGAAAGCCCCCGGCUCAACCGGGGAGGGUCAUUGGAAACUGGGAAACUUGAGUGCAGAAGAGGAGAGUGGAAUUCCACGUGUAGCGGUGAAAUGCGUAGAGAUGUGGAGGAACACCAGUGGCGAAGGCGACUCUCUGGUCUGUAACUGACGCUGAGGAGCGAAAGCGUGGGGAGCGAACAGGAUUAGAUACCCUGGUAGUCCACGCCGUAAACGAUGAGUGCUAAGUGUUAGGGGGUUUCCGCCCCUUAGUGCUGCAGCUAACGCAUUAAGCACUCCGCCUGGGGAGUACGGUCGCAAGACUGAAACUCAAAGGAAUUGACGGGGGCCCGCACAAGCGGUGGAGCAUGUGGUUAAUUCGAAGCAACGCGAAGAACCUUACCCUUGACUCCUCUGAACCCUAAGAUAGGGCUUUCCCUUCGGGGACAGAGUGACGGGCAUGGUCGUCAGCUCUGUCGUG